Molecule: ribosomal RNA, 479 nt
Filed under: uncultured bacterium
Lineage: Bacteria
Description: bacterial SSU rRNA
Rfam family: Bacterial small subunit ribosomal RNA
Source: RNAcentral
ACCGUACUCCUACGGGAGGCAGCAGUGGGGAAUAUUGGACAAUGGGCGAAAGCCUGAUCCAGCCAUGCCGCGUGUGUGAAGAAGGUCUUCGGAUUGUAAAGCACUUUAAGUUGGGAGGAAGGGCAUUAACCUAAUACGUUAGUGUCUUGACGUUACCGAAAGAAUAAGCACCGGCUAACUCUGUGCCAGCAGCCGCGGUAAUACAGAGGGUGCAGGCGUUAAUCGGAAUUACUGGGCGUAAAGCGCGCGUAGGUGGUUUGUGAAGUUGAAUGUGAAAUCCCCGGGCUCAACCUGGGAACUGCAUCCACAACUGGCAAGCUAGAGUAUGGUAGAGGGUAGUGGAAUUUCCUGCGUAGCGGUGAAAUGCGUAGAUAUAGGAAGGAACACCAGUGGCGAAGGCGACUACCUGGACUGAUACUGCCGCUGAGGUGCGAAAGCGUGGGGAGCAAACAGGAUUAGAAACCCCAGUAGUCCUUGAC